CUACGGGGGGCACCAGUGAGGAAUAUUGGUCAAUGGACGAGAGUCUGAACCAGCCAAGUCGCGUGAAGGAAGAAGGUUCUAUGGAUUGUAAACUUCUUUUGUAAGGGAAUAAAAAGAGUUACGUGUAACUUAUUGUAUGUACUUUACGAAUAAGGAUCGGCUAACUCCGUGCCAGCAGCCGCGGUAAUACGGAGGAUCCAAGCGUUAUCCGGAUUUAUUGGGUUUAAAGGGUGCGUAGGCGGUUGUUUAAGUCAGUGGUGAAAGUUUGCAGCUCAACUGUAAAAUUGCCAUUGAAACUGAAUGACUUGAGUGUAAAUGAGGUAGGCGGAAUGUGUUGUGUAGCGGUGAAAUGCUUAGAUAUAACACAGAACACCAAUUGCGAAGGCAGCUUACUAGGAUACAACUGACGCUGAGGCACGAAAGCGUGGGGAUCAAACAGGAUUAGAUACCCUAGUAGUC
Molecule: ribosomal RNA, 459 nt
Filed under: uncultured bacterium
Lineage: Bacteria
Description: partial 16S ribosomal RNA
Rfam family: Bacterial small subunit ribosomal RNA
Source: RNAcentral